ACGGAGGAUCCAAGCGUUAUCCGGAUUUAUUGGGUUUAAAGGGUGCGUAGGCGGCUUAUUAAGUCAGGGGUGAAAGACGGUGGCUCAACCAUCGCAGUGCCCUUGAUACUGAUGAGCUUGAAUACACUAGAGGUAGGCGGAAUGAGACAAGUAGCGGUGAAAUGCAUAGAUAUGUCUCAGAACACCAAUUGCGAAGGCAGCUUACUAUGGUGUUAUUGACGCUGAGGCACGAAAGCGUGGGGAUCAAACAGGAUUAGAUACCCUGGUAGUCCACGCCCUAAACGAUGAAUACUCGAUGUUAGCGAUAAACAGUUAGCGUCUAAGCGAAAGCGUUAAGUAUUCCACCUGGGGAGUACGCCCGCAAGGGUG
RNAcentral lists this ribosomal RNA (369 nucleotides) under uncultured bacterium. Its description in RNAcentral is "bacterial SSU rRNA". It matches the Rfam family "Bacterial small subunit ribosomal RNA", at positions 525 to 896 of the family's 1533-position model. The record is from RNAcentral.